Molecule: long non-coding RNA, 1028 nt
Organism: Triticum dicoccoides
Lineage: Eukaryota; Viridiplantae; Streptophyta; Magnoliopsida; Poales; Poaceae
Exons: 5
Source: RefSeq, a predicted model, not a curated record
CGACUGCACGAGCUCUCCUCUCUCCCACGCCUCCUGAUCCCAGCCGCCAGGAGGCACGCGGCCCGUGCGGCGCUCGAUCCGGUGACGCGCCGGCCGCCGCCGACGCCGGCAAUCACAGCACCCUGCACCACCGUUCCACCUUAGCUCCUCAUCUUCCCCGCGUGCCCGAGCUCCUCCUCUCUCCCGUGUGCCCGAGCUCCUUGCUGUGUGCCGCUCGGGAGGGCUUGCGUUCGCCGCUCGACCAAAGCCACCGCGAGCUGGUCGUCGUUGCACUUGCUGGCGACCUGGCCGUCCCCUCUGCACCACUUUCACCUCAAAUUUGGACGCUCAUGUGCUUGUGGAUGUUCUCAGUUAUUUUUUGCACACAAGGUGUUUGUGUGUUUGUCUGAACCAGUUUCAGUCACAGAUCCUUGAGCCGACCUAAUUGAGCUAUCGGAGGUGUUGCGGUCUUUUAGCAAACAUGCCCUAUAUUCUAUGGUUUGGCAUCUAUAGGAUGCCAUCUCUGGUCAUGGAUCCACUAUGGCUGCUUCGUCCUUCACUUAGGACCUUCUCACCCCCACAGAGAUCAGAGAGAAAAAUAUAUCUUGGAAGCAGGAACCCUUACCUCAUAAGAUGGGUUAUGACUAUGCCGUAGGUGACGUGCGGAAAGGCGACCAAAGAGUACAUGAAGAAUUCUUGCUAUCAACUAGGGCUGGAUGCCCCCAGGAAGAAUGCCUCAAAGCAGGAAAGGAGAUCAGAGUUCAGGGCAUGUUCAGCUCCACCCAUGCAUCAAGGGAAAUAUAUACGACGCAAAUGAUAACGUGUUCUGCUAGAUGACAUAGUACAAGGUUCAGCAGCGACGACAUGAUCUCAAACAUGCCACUGGCAUGGCACCUAUACUAAACUUGAUUUGUUCUCUCAAUAUGGAGUGUUAAUCUUCUCCUCUGCAUAGUACAAAUAUUCCCUUAGCUCAAAGGAUAUAGACAUGGUGAGUUUGGUUGGAGGAAAUAAGAAUGAUUUAUAAAAGUAAUAAAAGGGAGAUAAUGCUG